RNAcentral lists this ribosomal RNA (424 nucleotides) under uncultured cyanobacterium. Its description in RNAcentral is "bacterial SSU rRNA". It matches the Rfam family "Bacterial small subunit ribosomal RNA", at positions 359 to 798 of the family's 1533-position model. Lineage: Bacteria; Bacillati; Cyanobacteriota. The record is from RNAcentral.
GAAUUUUCCGCAAUGGGCGAAAGCCUGACGGAGCAACGCCGCGUGAGGGAUGAAGGCCUCUGGGCUGUAAACCUCUUUUCUCAAGGAAGAAGAUCUGACGGUACUUGAGGAAUAAGCCACGGCUAAUUCCGUGCCAGCAGCCGCGGUUAUACGGGAGUGGCAAGCGUUAUCCGGAAUUAUUGGGCGUAAAGCGUCCGCAGGCGGCCCUUCAAGUCUGCUGUUAAAGCGUGGAGCUUAACUCCAUCAUGGCAGUGGAAACUGUUGGGCUUGAGUGUGGUAGGGGCAGAGGGAAUUCCCGGUGUAGCGGUGAAAUGCGUAGAUAUCGGGAAGAACACCAGUGGCGAAGGCGCUCUGCUGGGCCAUCACUGACGCUCAUGGACGAAAGCCAGGGGAGCGAAAGGGAUUAGAUACCCCUGUAGUCAAU